AGUGAACGCUGGCGGUAGGCCUAACACAUGCAAGUCGAACGGCAGCACAGUAAGAGCUUGCUCUUACGGGUGGCGAGUGGCGGACGGGUGAGGAAUACAUCGGAAUCUACUUUUUCGUGGGGGAUAACGUAGGGAAACUUACGCUAAUACCGCAUACGACCUACGGGUGAAAGCAGGGGAUCUUCGGACCUUGCGCGAAUGAAUGAGCCGAUGUCGGAUUAGCUAGUUGGCGGGGUAAAGGCCCACCAAGGCGACGAUCCGUAGCUGGUCUGAGAGGAUGAUCAGCCAAACUGGAACUGAGACACGGUCCAGACUCCUACGGGAGGCAGCAGUGGGGAAUAUUGGACAAUGGGCGCAAGCCUGAUCCAGCCAUACCGCGUGGGUGAAGAAGGCCUUCGGGUUGUAAAGCCCUUUUGUUGGGAAAGAAAAGCAGCAGGGUAAUACCCCGCUGUUCUGACGGUACCCAAAGAAUAAGCACCGGCUAACUUCGUG
This 492-nucleotide ribosomal RNA is filed under the name uncultured bacterium. RNAcentral describes it as "partial 16S ribosomal RNA". It matches the Rfam family "Bacterial small subunit ribosomal RNA", at positions 29 to 507 of the family's 1533-position model. The record is from RNAcentral.